RNAcentral lists this ribosomal RNA (999 nucleotides) under uncultured bacterium. Its description in RNAcentral is "bacterial SSU rRNA". It matches the Rfam family "Bacterial small subunit ribosomal RNA", at positions 505 to 1503 of the family's 1533-position model. The record is from RNAcentral.
GUGCCAGCAGCCGCGGUAAUACAGAGGGUGCAAGCGUUAAUCGGAAUUACUGGGCGUAAAGCGCGCGUAGAUGGUUUGUUAAGUUGGAUGUGAAAUCCCCGGGCUCAACCUGGGAACUGCAUUCAAAACUGACUGACUAGAGUCUUGUAGAGGGGGGUAGAAUUCCAGGUGUAGCGGUGAAACGCGUAGAGAUCUGGAGGAAUACCGGUGGCGAAGGCGGCCCCCUGGACAAAGACUGACGCUCAGGUGCGAAAGCGUGGGGAGCAAACAGGAUUAGAUACCCUGGUAGUACACGCUGUAAACGAUGUCGACUUGGAGGUUGUGCCCUUGAGGCGUGGCUUCCGGAGCUAACGCGUUAAGUCGACCGCCUGGGGAGUACGGCCGCAAGGUUAAAACUCAAAUGAAUUGACGGGGGCCCGCACAAGCGGUGGAGCAUGUGGUUUAAUUCGAUGCAACGCGAAGAACCUUACCUACUCUUGACAUCCACGGAAUUCGCUAGAGAUAGCUUAGUGCCUUCGGGAACCGUGAGACAGGUGCUGCAUGGCUGUCGUCAGCUCGUGUUGUGAAAUGUUGGGUUAAGUCCCGCAACGAGCGCAACCCUUAUCCUUUGUUGCCAGCACGUAAUGGUGGGAACUCAAAGGAGACUGCCGGUGAUAAACCGGAGGAAGGUGGGGAUGACGUCAAGUCAUCAUGGCCCUUACGAGUAGGGCUACACACGUGCUACAAUGGCAUAUACAAAGAGAAGCAAACUCGCGAGAGCAAGCGGACCUCAUAAAGUAUGUCGUAGUCCGGAUUGGAGUCUGCAACUCGACUCCAUGAGGUCGGAAUCGCUAGUAAUCGUAGAUCAGAAUGCUACGGUGAAUACGUUCCCGGGCCUUGUACACACCGCCCGUCACACCAUGGGAGUGGGUUGCAAAAGAAGUAGGUAGCUUAACCUUCGGGAGGGCGCUUACCACUUUGUGAUUCAUGACUGGGGUGAAGUCGUAACAAGGUAACCGU